UCGAGAAUUUUUCACAAUGGGGGCAACCCUGAUGGAGCGACGCCGCGUGGAGGACGAAGGUCUUCGGAUUGUAAACUCCUGUCAUGCGGGAACAAGAAAGUGAUAGUACCGCAAGAGGAAGGGACGGCUAACUCUGUGCCAGCAGCCGCGGUAAUACAGAGGUCCCAAGCGUUGUUCGGAUUCAUUGGGCGUAAAGGGUGCGCAGGCGGCGUGGUAAGUUGAGUGUGAAAUCUCGGGGCUCAACCUCGAAACUGCACUCAAUACUCCCAUGCUAGAGGAAUGUAGAGGAGAGUGGAAUUCACGGUGUAGCAGUGAAAUGCGUAGAUAUCGUGAGGAAGACCAGUUGCGAAGGCGACUCUCUGGGCAUUUCCUGACGCUCAUGCACGAAGGCCAGGGGAGCAAACG
RNAcentral lists this ribosomal RNA (405 nucleotides) under uncultured Spartobacteria bacterium. RNAcentral describes it as "bacterial SSU rRNA". It matches the Rfam family "Bacterial small subunit ribosomal RNA", at positions 355 to 774 of the family's 1533-position model. The record is from RNAcentral. Lineage: Bacteria; Pseudomonadati; Verrucomicrobiota; Spartobacteria.